CCUGCGGGAGGCUGCAGUGGGGAAUAUUGGACAAUGGGCGAAAGCCUGAUCCAGCCAUGCCGCGUGUGUGAAGAAGGCCUUCGGGUUGUAAAGCACUUUAAGCGGGGAGGAAGGCCUUGAGACUAAUACUCUUGAGGAUUGACGUUACCCGCAGAAUAAGCACCGGCUAACUCUGUGCCAGCAGCCGCGGUAAUACAGAGGGUGCAAGCGUUAAUCGGAAUUACUGGGGGUAAUGCGCGCGUAGGGAGGUGAAAUCCCCGGGCUCAACCUGGGCACGGCAUCCGAUACUGGCUGACUAGAGUGUGGGAGAGGAAGGUAGAAUUCCAGGUGUAGCGGUGAAAUGCGUAGAGAUCUGGAGGAAUACCGAUGGCGAAGGCAGCCUUCUGGCCUAACACUGACGCUGAGGUGCGAAAGCAUGGGGAGCAAACAGGAUUAGAUACCCGUGUAGUC
This 450-nucleotide ribosomal RNA is filed under the name uncultured bacterium. RNAcentral's name for it is "partial 16S ribosomal RNA". It matches the Rfam family "Bacterial small subunit ribosomal RNA", at positions 338 to 795 of the family's 1533-position model. The record is from RNAcentral.